GAUGAAGAACGUAGCGAAAUGCGAUAAGUAAUGUGAAUUGCAGAAUUCAGUGAAUCAUCGAAUCUUUGAACGCACAUUGCGCCCGCCAGUAUUCUGGCGGGCAUGCCUGUUCGAGCGUCAUUUCAACCCUCAAGCCCCCGGGCUUGGUGUUGGGGAUCGGCGUGCCCUCGCGGCGCGCCGUCCCCUAAAUCUAGUGGCGGUCUCGCUGUAGCUUCCUCUGCGUAGUAGCAACACCCGCACUGGAUCGCAGCGCGGCCACGCCGUUAAACCCCCCACUUCUGAAAGUUUGACCUCGGAUCAGGUAGGAAUACCCGCUGAACUUAAGCAUAUCAAUAAGCGGAGGA
Molecule: unclassified non-coding RNA, 344 nt
Filed under: soil metagenome
Description: partial contains 5.8S ribosomal RNA, internal transcribed spacer 2, and large subunit ribosomal RNA
Rfam family: 5.8S ribosomal RNA (bases 1-120)
Source: RNAcentral